GGGAAGAGAAUGAGCCUUGGAGGGAGGAGGGAGCCAUUUCUCUCCACCGACUACGGCGUCUGUGCUCACAGCUCACAUUUCCCCGGAAUCCAGAGGUCUCCUCGGCCAAGGAUUCCAUAAUGCUGGAUAUUUUCCUCCUGAUGUUCUUUGCCAUCAUAGGCCUGGUCAUUCUGUCUUACGUUAUCUAUCUGCUCUAGUGGCCUGCAGCUGCGGCGGCGAGCCCGCAGAACAGCUCAUGGGGGAAGGAUGAACCUGACCAGCCGAGCAUCCUGCUUUGCUGACACACCGGUGGAUUUUUGCUUCUCGUCAUUAUUUCUGCUCCUGGUCUCCAGCCCAAGGAGAGGCUUCUUAUCAACAGCAGCAGUCCUGCUGCCCAGCAGACCUCUUCCAGAGCCUUCCGGAAAUGGUUAACCUCUGUCAAGCAAGGGGUUUUGUGAGCUCAGAGGCAAAGGCACUCAGCUGGGACAUCAGGAAUUCACGGGCAGAUGUUUCCGAGUUCAGGAGCACAUUGUGUAUCUUCAUCUGCAUAGUAGUCACUCAUCAGUCUUUAUAGAUUGCCUAGUCUGGGGCUGUGUGGUUUCCCUCGUCUCACUCUCUGGCCAGAAGGAACUUGUCAUUUGAGUGUUUAAGAUUUAUUGUUAUCUCUUCUAUUCCUUCCACUUUUGCCCAGCUUCUCUUUUAGGAAAAUGGUUAGAUAGUCCUCAUUCUUUGUGCCUGGCUGAAUUAAAAAUCAUUGAAAUGAGAUGGCUAUAUUUACCUUACUUGUUUAUUCAGGAAAAAAAUCUCUCUUACCCAAACUAAAUAUUUUUUACAUUGUUGAAUAUUCCUUUUCUGGAAAAAAGCCCUUCUAUGUAUUUCUCUGUCCAAUUAGGUUUGAAGAAACCACCUUAUUUUGGGGUCCAGAGAAGAGUAGAGUAGAGCUCCAAAUCUGUGGUAUCUAUUCCUGAAAAGUCCAUCAUAAUUUCUACUUUUGCUUUUCCUUUCUAGUUUAAAAAUAAACAAGGAGUAAGAUUAACUUUAAUAGCUUUUAUUCUUAACAUUGUGUUCAAAUUCCAUGCUUUAAAAGGAAAUAAAAUUGAGGCAGUAUAACAUAUGUCACAAUUAAAAUGGAAAACUUGCACUUUAAAAUUUUGGCCAAGGAAAAACCAGUUCUGGAGCUUUGUCCUGGCAACAAAUUAUGUGACCUUAAAUAAGUCAUUUAACUUACAGGGUUUCAAUGUAUUCUGACAAGUGAAAGGUUGGACUUUCUCAUUUUAAAAAUUCUGUAAUUCGAGGAUGCAUAAUCUUUGGCAACUACAACUUUGAGAACAGAAUUCCCAUGGAACAAACUCUUAAUAGUUUACCAGUUGUGUGCGUUUCUGCUCUACCCAAAUGACGUUUUAUAAUAAUUCAUCCGCAAAACUCUUCUUGGCACCAAGAGCCACAUUGUGAGGAGAAAAUGACAAUGUUUAUUUACCCCAAACAUUUAUCACCGAUAAUUUGCCUAAGCUGUUUAGGGAAUAUUAAACAAGUACAAUACUUGUUUGGUAUGUAACAAAAAGAGGUAAUCUGACUGAUAUGCUAAUGCAAGAAGUGGGGCUCUGAACAUUAAUACAUUGAUGGAUGAUCUUCAGUUACCUGUAGAAUCUUUGAUAUGACAUUUCCCACUAAAAAUUUCCUCUGGUUCUUUGGUGAAACUUUGUGUUUCAAACUAAAAUUUUCUACUUCAAGUCACCAUAGCAGCUCUUACCUUACCUAACGUAAUUAGGGCAAGUGUCAGUAUUUUGGAGGGAUCCAAGUUACACAGUUAAUUAUGGUGGCGUAGAUCUUCAUGGUAUGGUCUCUGACUAAGUGGGCUCUGAAGUCUUUUAUAAGGUUAAGGCUCUUCAGUCUGUACCCACACAAAGUUGAAACGACUUACAAAUUCAGUUAAAACAAUCAGCUAAUUUCAGUUAUACACCAGUGGUAUUGUAUACAAUAUAUGGACAGAAAGAUCAAUAUUUUCAGUUACUUGUGAAAUAUUGUUUAAAAAAUAAUUACACUUUGGAAGAAACUUUAUUACUUUGUGCCUAUUUCAUGCUGUAAUAUGAGUUUAUAACAGAGUUCUAUUAUUGUGUUCAUCAUUUUGAUAACAUUUUUUUAAAACCACAUUUAAACUAUUUGUAUUUUGGCAUCCUAAAACAAAACACUGGUAACAGUUAUUUCUGUAAUAUAAAGUUUUGUUAGUUUUACAAAUCUGUGUCAUUGGGCAAUCCUGUCCUAUAAAAUGAGGGCUGUACUUCACCCACAUCAAUGUCGUAAAAAUAACUCUAAAUAAUUGUAGCUUACUUGAAAAAAAUGUGGCAUAAUGCUAAGAUUACAUUAAUACCUGCUUUCUUGGUAAAAAAAAAUAAGGGGUUUGUGUGGAAAAGUGAUGUUAUUUCAUUUCAGGAGAAGAUAGUAUAUUUUGGGAAACAGUUAAGUAAUGGAAUGAUAAUUCUUACUAAGUUAGAACCACCUAAGAGUCACUAUUCUGGGUAUGUGGAAUCAAAUCCAACCUUUUUGAGUCUGAAACUUGGCAUGAUAUGAUUUAUGAAAUUUCAGAAAAUUUGUUUGCUUUUAAAAGGCUUAAAAGUAAUAUUACUCAUACUUCAGAAUCCCUUUAAAGUAUCAUUUUGAUUUUAAAUUACUCAGAAAUAAUGGGAAUUUCCCUUAAUACACACUUAAGCAUAGUUGAAGUGGAAAAUAGUUUUGCUCCCUUUAUUUUAAACAAAUAUAAAGUCAUAUAUAAAGAUGGAAAUAGAAAGUCACUGACACAACUUGCAUUAUAAAUUCAAACAUGUAAAGGCAGAUAUAUUUAGAAAUACUUAAGAAAUGUUUUGUUCUUAGAAAGCCAUUUAAGAUCUUGUUAGUUAUGGGAAAGUACAGGUAAUCCACAAUACUUAAAUAUGUAUUUUGUUUUUUGAAGCUUAUGUUUAACUAUAAUUGAAACAUUUCUAUUUAGCAGCAGCAAUUGGUUUAUUAAUAGGUUGGGAAUUUGGUCUCUGGAUUAAAUAGCAGAAUAAUAAAGAAUACAAUCCUACUUACAGAUUACUGUUCAAUUUAUGAGUUGUUGCGAGUAAAUAAAAUUAUUGAUUUAUAUACUAUAAUAUUAAGCAUAAAUAUAUAACUAAUUGCAACAUUAUUUUAUAUUAAGACAUUUCAUAUUUUGACCAUGGUAGAGCUAUAAUUAACAGCUUAAAUAACUAAGUUCCUCCACAAGAAAUAAUUUA
Manis javanica (Malayan pangolin) is the source of this 3230-nucleotide non-coding RNA. The record is from RefSeq and is a predicted model, not a curated record. Lineage: Eukaryota; Metazoa; Chordata; Mammalia; Pholidota; Manidae.